This is a long non-coding RNA of Strongylocentrotus purpuratus (purple sea urchin), 1064 nucleotides long. RefSeq lists it as uncharacterized. The transcript has 3 exons. The record is from RefSeq and is a predicted model, not a curated record. Lineage: Eukaryota; Metazoa; Echinodermata; Echinoidea; Camarodonta; Strongylocentrotidae.
UGUUCUCAAGCCGGUGCCGCGGCUGGACUUCCCCUACCCAUCUCCCUCUUAUUUCCCUUCUCUGUCAUUUUCCGAGGGACUCCGUCUCGCGAUAACCCCGAGAGCGACACGAAUAGAUCGCAGCCUUCUCCUCGCUUCAUUCAUCCGAUCGCGCGCUUGGAAAGAGGAGCUCAUCCAAACAUCCUCGCAUCGCUCUCGCAUCAGCGACACAGCCAGGCAAACGGGGUUCGGUGCAAUACUCCAUGACCACCUUCAUUCUAAUAUCCUCAACUUCACCAUCAGCAUCACCACCGCUGUCCUCUUAGUACACCCGUGAUCCUCGGUUUUCUUUUUAAUUACUUUCCACGAAUCAUUAAUAACCCAUACCGUACUAGAUGAUCUACACGCCGCCACAGGAUUGGUGUUAGUGGUAUACAACCCAUCGCGGAGCAUCAGAAUGCUAAAUUAGUACCAUACUAUGUACGUCUUGUAGUUAAUUGCCAUUCGGAAUAUUCUCAUCGUGUCCAUAUUACUGUGAACGAAACACCUUCAACUUUUCCUGGAACUUUUACUUUCUGCGAAGGAUUGUGGACUAUUAAUUAAAUCGGAUCUUGUUCAGGUGCUAUAAUAUUCGCUGCUUCCUUGACCUGGUGAGGAAUACACAGAAGCCACGAUGAAAGUUGAAGAAACUGCACUGAGUCCCACCAGCGAAAAUGGGUCUGCAGCAGCAGGUCUCGCUACCAACGGAACCAGACCAUCCAAGGAAAUGUGCGCGGGGUGUCAGCGCGCCAUCGAUGACCGGUAUCUCAUGAAAGUAAUGGAUCACUGCUGGCACGAGCAAUGUCUUCAAUGCAGCGUCUGUAGAAUAAGACUAUCACACUCCUGCUUUGCCAGAGAUCGCAAGUUAUACUGCAAACUAGACUACGAAAAGUAAGUCCCGGUUUUUUGUUGUUGUAUUUCUCGUAUCAUAUUAUUGUUCCCAUUUGUUGUGACGUAAUUUAUUAUGACGUAAUUUAUUGUGACAUCGCAAUGAAAACGUAAUGGCCCGAAUUCACAAAGGAGGUUUGUCGACAAACCUUGGUUUU